AUUGAACGCUGGCGGCAUGCCUUACACAUGCAAGUCGAACGGUAACAGGUCUUCGGAUGCUGACGAGUGGCGAACGGGUGAGUAAUACAUCGGAACGUGCCCGAUCGUGGGGGAUAACGAAGCGAAAGCUUUGCUAAUACCGCAUACGAUCUACGGAUGAAAGCAGGGGACCGCAAGGCCUUGCGCGAACGGAGCGGCCGGUGGCGGAUUAGGUAGUUGGUGGGAUAAAAGCUUACCAAGCCGACGAUCUGUAGCUGGUCUGAGAGGACGACCAGCCACACUGGGACUGAGACACGGCCCAGACUCCUACGGGAGGCAGCAGUGGGGAAUUUUGGACAAUGGGCGAAAGCCUGAUCCAGCCAUGCCGCGUGCAGGAUGAAGGCCUUCGGGUUGUAAACUGCUUUUGUACGGAACGAAAAGACUCUGGUUAAUACCUGGGGUCCAUGACGGUACCGUAAGAAUAAGCACCGGCUAACUACGUG
RNAcentral lists this ribosomal RNA (482 nucleotides) under uncultured bacterium. RNAcentral's name for it is "partial 16S ribosomal RNA". It matches the Rfam family "Bacterial small subunit ribosomal RNA", at positions 30 to 507 of the family's 1533-position model. The record is from RNAcentral.